GUGAGGAAUAUUGGUCAAUGGACGGAAGUCUGAACCAGCCAUGCCGCGUGCAGGAAUAAGGUCCUAUGGAUUGUAAACUGCUUUUAUUCGGGAAUAAACCUCUUUACGUGUAGGGAGCUGAAGGUACCGAAGGAAUAAGCACCGGCUAACUCCGCGCCAGCAGCCGCGGUAAUACGGAGGGUGCAAGCGUUAUCCGGAAUCAUUGGGUUUAAAGGGUCCGCAGGCGGGCUAUCAAGUCAGAGGUGAAAUCCCACAGCUUAACUGUGGAACUGCCUUUGAAACUGAUGGUCUUGAAUUAGGUGGGCGUUGGCGGAAUAUGACAUGUAGCGGUGAAAUGCAUAGAUAUGUCAUGGAACACCGAAAGCGAAGGCAGCUAACGAUACUUAUAUUGACGCUCAUGGACGAAAGCGUGGGUAGCGAACAGGAUUAGAAACCCUGGUAGUCC
This 445-nucleotide ribosomal RNA is filed under the name uncultured bacterium. RNAcentral describes it as "partial 16S ribosomal RNA". It matches the Rfam family "Bacterial small subunit ribosomal RNA", at positions 354 to 796 of the family's 1533-position model. The record is from RNAcentral.